GAUGAAGAACGUAGCGAAAUGCGAUAAGUAAUGUGAAUUGCAGAAUUCAGUGAAUCAUCGAAUCUUUGAACGCACAUUGCGCCCGCCAGUAUUCUGGCGGGCAUGCCUGUUCGAGCGUCAUUUCAACCCUCAAGCACAGCUUGGUGUUGGGACUCGCGUUAAUUCGCGUUCCUCAAAUUGAUUGGCGGUCACGUCGAGCUUCCAUAGCGUAGUAGUAAAACCCUCGUUACUGGUAAUCGUCGCGGCCACGCCGUUAAACCCCAACUUCUGAAUGUUGACCUCGGAUCAGGUAGGAAUACCCGCUGAACUUAAGCAUAUCAAUAAGCGGAGA
RNAcentral lists this unclassified non-coding RNA (331 nucleotides) under soil metagenome. Its description in RNAcentral is "partial contains 5.8S ribosomal RNA, internal transcribed spacer 2, and large subunit ribosomal RNA". The stretch from base 1 to 120 matches the Rfam family "5.8S ribosomal RNA", at positions 35 to 154 of the family's 154-position model. The record is from RNAcentral.